UACGGAGGAUCCAAGCGUUAUCCGGAAUCAUUGGGUUUAAAGGGUCCGUAGGCGGGAGAGUCAGUCAGUGGUGAAAGUCUGCAGCUUAACUGUAGAACUGCCAUUGAUACUGCUUUCCUUGAGUAAUUAUGAAGUGGUUAGAAUAUGUAGUGUAGCGGUGAAAUGCAUAGAUAUUACAUAGAAUACCGAUUGCGAAGGCAGAUCACUAAUAAUUUACUGACGCUGAGGGACGAAAGCGUAGGUAGCGAACAGG
This 253-nucleotide ribosomal RNA is filed under the name uncultured bacterium. RNAcentral describes it as "partial 16S ribosomal RNA". It matches the Rfam family "Bacterial small subunit ribosomal RNA", at positions 524 to 776 of the family's 1533-position model. The record is from RNAcentral.